AAGAAAGUGGCAGAGUGGUUAUGUGGUUGGCUUGAAACUAAUUAAUGGAGGUUCAAUUCCUUCCUUUCUUG
This 71-nucleotide transfer RNA is filed under the name Telatrygon zugei (pale-edged stingray). Its description in RNAcentral is "tRNA-Ser". It matches the Rfam family "tRNA". Rfam says of the family: Transfer RNA (tRNA) molecules are approximately 80 nucleotides in length. Their secondary structure includes four short double-helical elements and three loops (D, anti-codon, and T loops). Further hydrogen bonds mediate the characteristic L-shaped molecular structure. tRNAs have two regions of fundamental functional importance: the anti-codon, which is responsible for specific mRNA codon recognition, and the 3' end, to which the tRNAs corresponding amino acid is attached (by aminoacyl-tRNA synthetases). tRNAs cope with the degeneracy of the genetic code in two manners: having more than one tRNA (with a specific anti-codon) for a particular amino acid; and 'wobble' base-pairing, i.e. permitting non-standard base-pairing at the 3rd anti-codon position. The record is from RNAcentral. Lineage: Eukaryota; Metazoa; Chordata; Chondrichthyes; Myliobatiformes; Dasyatidae.